UUGACGGGGGCCCGCACAAGCGGUGGAGCAUGUGGUUUAAUUCGACGCAACGCGAGAACCUUACCAGGGCUUGACAUCCCCUGACCGCGUAUGAAAGUACGUUUUCACCCUCGGGUGACAGGGAGACAGGUGGUGCAUGGUUGUCGUCAGCUCGUGUCGUGAGAUGUUGGGUUAAGUCCCGCAACGAGCGCAACCCCUACGUUAGUUGCUAACGCGUGAAGGCGAGCACUCUAGACGAACUGCCGUUGACAAAACGGAGGAAGGUGGGAUGACGUCAAAUCAUCAUGCCCCUUAUGUUCUGGGCUACACACGUGCUACAAUGGCCGGUACAGACGGACGCAAAGCCGCGAGGUGGAGCAAAUCCUAAAAAGCCGGUCUCAGUUCGGAUUGCAGGCUGCAAUUCGCCUGCAUGAAGUCGGAAUCGCUAGUAAUCGCAGGUCAGCAUACUGCGGUGAAUACGUUCCCGGGCCUU
This 472-nucleotide ribosomal RNA is filed under the name uncultured Pelotomaculum sp. Its description in RNAcentral is "bacterial SSU rRNA". It matches the Rfam family "Bacterial small subunit ribosomal RNA", at positions 910 to 1382 of the family's 1533-position model. Lineage: Bacteria; Bacillati; Bacillota; Clostridia; Eubacteriales; Desulfotomaculaceae. The record is from RNAcentral.